RNAcentral lists this unclassified non-coding RNA (229 nucleotides) under fungal sp. Its description in RNAcentral is "partial internal transcribed spacer region". The stretch from base 1 to 46 matches the Rfam family "Eukaryotic small subunit ribosomal RNA", at positions 1786 to 1831 of the family's 1831-position model. Lineage: Eukaryota; Fungi. The record is from RNAcentral.
AAGUCGUAACAAGGUUUCCGUAGGUGAACCUGCGGAAGGAUCAUUCACAAUAAGUGUUUAAUGGCACUUUCAAAUCCAUUACCCACCUUGUGUGCACUGUAGAUGAGGGAAGAAGACUUGUUCUCAUUCCCUUGUCAUACUUACAUACCUAUUUUUCUUGAUUGUCUACAAUUUGAGUAAUAAAAAAAACUCGAAUACAACUUUCAACAACGGAUCUCUUGGCUCUCGC